Octopus sinensis (East Asian common octopus) is the source of this 316-nucleotide long non-coding RNA. RefSeq lists it as uncharacterized. The record is from RefSeq and is a predicted model, not a curated record. The transcript is spliced from 3 exons. NCBI's taxonomy places the organism in Eukaryota, Metazoa, Mollusca, Cephalopoda, Octopoda, Octopodidae.
GCAUGACAACUGUUGCGACCACUGUUUUCCCCAGUAGAAAACAGAAUUUCACAGAAGCACGCUGCUCCUUCGUUUUAGCCAUCGCAAAAAAAUCGACGAACAGAGGAGAAGCACUGCAAAAGAAAGACGCAUCAAGUGGAAAUACGACUUCACUCGACAACGCCGGUCGGCAGACUGAUGCCUGAGGAUUGCAUCAAGUGGAUUCUAGCGGCGGAAUCCUGAACUACACUAGGCUUGUCCCACCGAGAACGUUUCUGGUUAGUUUUGGGUACCCCCUCUUAUAGGUAGAUAGAUAGAUAGAUAGAUAGAUAGAUAG